GAUGAACGCUGGCGGCGUGCCUAAUACAUGCAAGUCGAGCGAACAGACGAGGAUCUUGCUCCUCUGACGUUAUCGGCGGACGGGUGAGUAACACGUGGAUAACCUACCUAUAAGACUGGGCUAACUUCUGGAAACCGGAGCUAAUACCGGAUAAUAUAUUGAACCGCAUGGUUCAAUAGUGAAAGACGGUUUUGCUGUCACUUAUAGAUGGAUCCGCGCCGCAUUAGCUAGUUGGUAAGGUAACGGCUUACCAAGGCAACGAUGCGUAGCCGACCUGAGAGGGUGGAAGACCACAAUGGAACUGAGAGACGGCCCGGACACCGACAGGAGGCAGCAGUAGGGAAUCAUGCGCAAUGGGCGAAAGACUAACGGAGCAAAGACGCGUGAGUGAUGAAGGUCUACGAAUCGUAAAAAACUGUUAGUAGGGAAGAACAAAUGUGUAAGUAACGAUGAACGUAUUGACGGUACCUGAUCAGAAAGCCACGGCUAACUACGUG
This 497-nucleotide ribosomal RNA is filed under the name uncultured bacterium. Its description in RNAcentral is "partial 16S ribosomal RNA". It matches the Rfam family "Bacterial small subunit ribosomal RNA", at positions 28 to 507 of the family's 1533-position model. The record is from RNAcentral.